GUUUCUAUCUAUGACAUGCCCCCUUCCAGUACGAAAGGACCGAAGGAGGGAGGCCAAUGCCAAAGACAUGCCUCACCCUUAACCAAUGCAAACAACUAAAAUGGACAAAAGGACAUAUUCUCCAUGCCUCAAAUAAAGGCU
Molecule: ribosomal RNA, 141 nt
Filed under: Anableps anableps (largescale foureyes)
Lineage: Eukaryota; Metazoa; Chordata; Actinopteri; Cyprinodontiformes; Anablepidae
Description: partial 16S ribosomal RNA
Source: RNAcentral